UCGCUACUACCGAUUGGACGUUUUGGUGAGGCUCAGGGAAUGUUGCAUGCGGUGGUUCGCCACUGCGCGCAUGCAUGAACUGAAACAAACCUGAGCGUCUAGAGGAAGUAA
This 111-nucleotide ribosomal RNA is filed under the name uncultured eukaryote. RNAcentral describes it as "partial small subunit ribosomal RNA". It matches the Rfam family "Eukaryotic small subunit ribosomal RNA", at positions 1676 to 1785 of the family's 1831-position model. The record is from RNAcentral.